CCUUCCUUCCUUCUUCCUCUCUCCCAUCUCUCUUCUGAAAUUUCUCUUAAGGCUUGAAGGUUGAACGACGAAGAAUCCUCAGCAAUCCACCCAUCUGCAGGAUCCAAAUUUCAGUGCCCAUAAUUUUCUAUUCUUUGAAAUCCCUACCUUCCAUUCAUGAUUGCUGAUUUAUUUUUGUUGCUCCAGCCAGUUCUUCACACACUCGGAUUGCAUCCCCAUGAUCUUGGAUCGCGGAAGGAUUUGCAAGCAACCAUGGCCUGAUCUGAUGUCGAUUCCUCCCUCAUCCAGAAAUCUUCAUCGACGUAUUUGUGAGAUCCCUUGCUUCUAAAUAUU
This 333-nucleotide long non-coding RNA is filed under the name Elaeis guineensis (African oil palm). RNAcentral's name for it is "long non-coding RNA (EGUI_LNC002134)". Lineage: Eukaryota; Viridiplantae; Streptophyta; Magnoliopsida; Arecales; Arecaceae. The record is from RNAcentral.